RNAcentral lists this long non-coding RNA (1995 nucleotides) under Bemisia tabaci. RNAcentral describes it as "lncRNA ENSSSA1NGG000255". Lineage: Eukaryota; Metazoa; Arthropoda; Insecta; Hemiptera; Aleyrodidae. The record is from RNAcentral.
CAGCAGUUGAUAGCGAAGCUUGUAGACGUUUGGUUUUAUAACUGAGUCGCUUGCCCGUAAUACCUCUCGUAGCAAGUUCGCAGAGGCUGGUUUUCUAUCGAUGAAAAGUUGUAGAGGAUUGACAGAAUAGGGGUCUCCCUUUAUGUAAUCAAUUUAAUUAUAGUUUUCUUUUAUUUUCAGUAGAUAUUCCAGUUCAUGAAGUAUCAAGAGAAGAAAAGUCAAAAUUAUUUGACCUGAGGAGUGGGCAGCAUGAUUUUCGCACCAGCAAAGAAUUCGAUAACGAUUUUGACAAUUAUGAUGAAAUGGACGAUGGAUGGGACAGUUCAGACGGACACUCAGGAGGACAUUCGGGAUCACAUCCCUCUUUUCAUGAGGAUGAAGCAAUAAACCACGACAAGUCUGACAACUCACUUGCUUCUGACUUCCGAUCCGUAUUGUCGCAAAGUAUACCCAUCGGGGGGCAAGGAACGUACGACACUUCCAACAACAAUGGAUACAUGCUUUCAAAUGACGUGAUUGGCGCUGUGCAGGAUUUGAUAGAUGACCACUCAGGACUUCAAAUGACGUUUGCUUGCCAGCCGAAAAUCGGCAAAUAUCUGUGCAAAAUUCAAUGUGUGAAGCAAGACGAAGCUAUGACCGGAAGUUGCGAAACCGGAUAUUGCAGCUGCAUGCUCAAAGAAGAGCAUAAAUUGCGGAAGAAAUGAACAAACGUUUUUUGGCUGCAAUGAAAGGUUUCGACACAGAUUGCGGUGAUCGGAAGAAAGCGAAACAAUGCAAGCGGUUUUGCAAGGCUCUGACGCCCGACAAGUCCUUCACUGGCCUUUGCGCGAACAACUUCUGCAAAUGCGUCACGUAUCCAACGACCCCGGAGAAAAAGAAGACCGCCUGCGAGAAAGCCAUCAAAAACCUGAAGAAGAUCGAGGAUCAAGCCUUGCAACACUUGGGAGUCCAACCAGAACCUCUCAGCGGGGCCGCGGAGAAGAAUGCCAGCCUGGCCGCCGACGAAGCCAUUCAAAAGUUAAAGGCCAAUAACUCAAUAGACGACUGCACAGAAGAGGACAUCCAGAAUUUGAGGGGUGUCAUCGCGAGCCUUGCCCAAGGCCUCAACUUAGCCCGAUCUCAUAGUCAAACAUCAAGCUCAUCUCACGGCGAAAAAACUGAGUCUGAAUCCACGACGUACACAGCCUCUCCAUCGUCACCCAGAUCAGCAUCAAAGUAUGAGGAGAGCCAUUUUUCAAGAACCCGCCGAGGUGGACUUGAAUCUCCAAGGACUCCAUCCUCCAAAUCAGGCUCGUCCAUCCAUGAGGAGAUUCAGGUGUCCAGAACAAACCGAGAGCCGAGUGAACCUCCACGACCUUCAUCACAUGGAUCAGGCUCAUCAUUCCACGAAGAGAGUCGGGCAUCAGGAACGAGCGGAGGUGGACUAGAGAUCUUACGACUCACGUCUCCCCCGUCGCCCAAAUCAGGUUCGGGAUUCUUCGAAGAGAGUUACACAUCAAGGACAAACCGAGAUGAUAGCGAAUCUCCACGACCUCCGAAAACGCCAAAAUCAGGUUCGAAAUUGAUUGAAGAAAUCCACGUGUCAAGAAACGAACCUCCACGACCCGUAUCACCAAAAUCAGGUUCGUCAUUCUUCGAGGGGAGAACCGUAUCACGAACCAGCCAAGAAGGUAACGAAUCUCCACGACCUGCAGCCUCAAGAUCGCUCAAAUCAGGCUCGUCAUUUUACGAGGAGAGCCACGUAACGAGAACGAUCAGAAACGGAAACGAAUCUCCACGAACUCGAUCCGUGCGUAUCGUCACCACGUCACCACCCAGAUCAGAGCAGCUGACUACGUGCAGGGCACAAGGGCACAUGCGUCGCAAUGUUGGCCCUCUGACCCACAAAUUCCCGAUGCCCCCAGACGGACGGGGAACUUUGCAGCGUGACGUCAUUGAACUUCCGCCUCGGUUUCCGCCCCGGUCGGGGUUCGACCGUACGGCGGCGGCGGCGGC